UACGUAGGGACCAAGCGUUGUUCGGAUUUACUGGGCGUAAAGGGCGCGUAGGCGGCGUGUUAAGUCACUUGUGAAAUCUCUAAGCUUAACUUAGAACGGUCAAGUGAUACUGAUGUGCUAGAGUGCAGAAGGGGCAACCGGAAUUCUUGGUGUAGCGGUGAAAUGCGUAGAUAUCAGGAGGAACACCGGUGGCGAAGGCGGCUUUCUGGACAGAUACCGACGCUGAGGCACGAAAGCUAGGGGAGCAAACAGG
RNAcentral lists this ribosomal RNA (253 nucleotides) under uncultured bacterium. RNAcentral's name for it is "partial 16S ribosomal RNA". It matches the Rfam family "Bacterial small subunit ribosomal RNA", at positions 524 to 776 of the family's 1533-position model. The record is from RNAcentral.